CCUCCCUGCCAGCUGGCCGCGGGCCCCACGUGUCAGCGAGACUUGGCCGGGCCCCGCCCCUGCUGACUGGAUUAAGUGGAGGCGUAAACUCGUGAGUACGUUUUGUUUCCAGAAAGCGUAUUUUCCCUCUACUUCGGCCAAAGUAUGUUUUCCUUUCCUGAAAGCGUAUUUCCAGUCUUCUUCAGCCCCGAAUGCGUUUUCAGUUUAGUGAAAGCGUAUUUCGCUGAUUGCGCUUUCUGUUUUUCUGUCCAGGCCCUGUUUGAAAAUAUUUUCAUUACAGAUGGGUCCCUGGCAGAAAACACCUCAUAUCUUUUUAACCACAACUCCAAAUGAGGUGAUUCCAAAGCCCAUUUCUUCGUUUCGUCGAGCCCAUUCUGUUGGCUUCAUUUUCACUAUGGUUUGACACUGUGAAAAUGACCUUUUUGUCCUUGCACGUAAACAGCCCCUCCGAGAGAGAACUGUUUUCGGCAAAUCUCUCCGCGGCUUCACCGCACUUCUCCCCGAUGCCUUCUUCAUCCCCAGGCAACCCACAAUACCCACUUGCAUGAUAGUCAUGCAAUAGCCAUGUUUUCAACUUGAAUCUUUAUUAAAUGAUUGCUUGUUUAAAAUAUGGUUAUCGUUGUUUCGGUAAUGCUUCUGGGUUAGUGCUUACUUGCUUGCUAUGUUGUUAUGCACCUGGUUAUCAUGCCCUGCUAGUUGCUAGUAUUACUUUCAUAUUGCCAUGCUUGAUAGUAGUACAUGUUAGGUUGGUCAUGUUCUUCGGUGCAUGACUAACGCCAUGGGAAGGUCCUAACUGGGUCUAUUGUCGUGCCUCUCGCCAGUGCCUCCAACGAGGGAAGGUUAUGGGCGCGCGCUACCCUGAUCAGGUAGGCGGACCUAACCUUGUGUGCCCGUUGUUGUUAUUAUGGAUCCGGUCCCCGUGAGGGACGUUUUGGCCACGACGGUGGUCGUUGUGUCUUUGGUAGACACGGGGCCACCCAGGACUAGCCUAGUGGGGAGUGAGUCGGAGUGGCUGGGAGAGCGUCAUGGUAGUAGAUCGGUUUUGUCGAAACGCCAUUGGUCCACCCGAAUGGGAAUGCGAGGCCAUGGGUUCCGUGGUGUGGGUACAGUGUACUAACCUCUGCAGAGUGUAUACUAAAUCUAUCGAUAGCCGCGCCCGUGAAUAAGGGCCCAGUUCGUGUCGGUCACACCGUGAGUCAACAGUAUUAAUAAUAACUUGAUUAAUGACAACCCCGGUUCGAUGAUGAGAUAAGUUGGUUGUGAUCGCCGGAAAGAUCACCGUGUAAGACCAAGUGUUGGUCAUGGUUGUGAUCGCCGGAAAGAUCACCGUGGUAUCGAGGAUACCGAGUUGUUGUAUAUUCGUGAUGUUGUGCGAGAAUCAUGGGUAAAGAUCAAGCUCCUUGUGGUGGUUUAAUGAUUACUACGGUAUUGUUUAUACCAAGCUUGAUAUGAUCCUGAGAUGAUCGUGUGAUGUCCGAGGUUGGUAAGUGAUGCAUGUGAUGGUUAUGAGGUAACCCGAACAGAAUAAAUAGUGCAUAUAGUGUCAUCAUGUUGCUUGCUAGUAUCGUCAGAUUCAUAUGUUCAUGCCAUGCUCAUGUUGUUCUAGCUGUAUCAUGUUCAUGUUGCUCAUGUCAUGUUGUUAUGAGGAUCUCAUGUUAAUUCCUGUUUAACUUGUAAUUGCCAUGCUGAUGUUUGUCUUGAAUGCUUCUGGUUAUUGUGAGCUUGCAAGUACAUUCAAUGUACUGACCUGGCGUGUCAUGCCAGCUUGCUGGUCGUGCCUGGAUUGCUUGCUUGUUUGGUGUUGUCCCUGUGUUCGCGAGCUAGGAUAAGCGUUCCAGCCAGAGUCCCUGCGGACUGGAGUUCACCACCGUUGUUGUUGUUCCGCUGCUAGAAGUUUUUCCGCUGCUUCGAGUUGUUCUGCUGCUUGCAUAGAGCAACUGAGGAUGGCGUAGUGUCGCCGUGCCGAUGUUAUUCAUUGUAAUAUCGGAGACCUUGUAUUCAUAUUCGUGUAAUAAUAGAAAGCUGGUUUGUUCUAUGCUAAGCAGUGCCGUAUUCCAGAAGACUUCUCCUCGAUCUCUGGGCUGGAAUACGGGGUGUUCCGGUUUUCUCUGAGCCGGGGUGCCACAGGCUUGGUAUCAGAGCAAGUCUGGCUGUAGGAUGCCCUAGCCCGCGCGAACAUUAGAAAGCGGUAGUGUAGACCCCAGUUGGUUUGUUGCACUUGAUUGUUGCAUUUGUCUAUCGCAUAGCAUGCAUAUAGAUUGUUAUUUUGUAAGUAACGGUUAAUCUUGUGAGUGUAGGUGGCAUCGUUUUGGGUCCAUCGCCUGCACCAUCUUUCUUAGCAUGCCUGCUCCUCGGUGUGAUGCGACCACAUCAUCAUCCAUGCCCUCCAUCUCGUCCCCUUGGCAACCCUUGCUGAUCUUUGUUAUCAGAAAAGGGCAAUGCCAAUAAACCCAGUCUUCCACUGUUAUCUUGCCAUGUCAUUUCAUUCUUUGGACGGGUACGAUUCCCUUCGUACGCUUGAUGAUGAGGUGGUCGUGACUUUUGUGUCUCGCUACUUGAUCGUCAAGUCCGUUCUCACCUGUGUAUCCAUCCAGAUCCAGCCACUGUUCAGCUAGUGCUUGGUGUAGCUUCGGUUACGCCAACUCCUUCCACACAUGGAUAUAAUUUUCGUGCACACCGCCACAGCAUAUUGGACCGUAAUACCGGAGUUUCUGCGUGAUUUGUGUGCUUAGGUGUGCAUGCAUAUUAUGGUGUGAGUAGCAGUAAUAUGUGAUGACUGCUUGAUUAAUUAUAUUAGUAGUAUGCUUGGGUGCUUUUGUUUUAGUCGUUUCUUUGGUUUCUUUCUUUGGGCCUUCGGUGUUACAAAAUUUUCCCCUAUUAAAGUUGCUCGUCCGCCGACACCGGACCCGAAGAGUCAGCAAGAAAUGCAUAUAUUUGGAAACUCAGCUAAACAGAAUGGAAUUGUCAGCAGACUGCAGUGAAAUUGGAAAUAGCUCGUCUGAAUACAAAAGAAAUCCUGGAUGGAAUGUCAGUAUAAAGUUUGCAUUAACGUGCACUCCUCAUAGCAGAAAUGAUCAAAUCCGCAAGAAGAUAAAUUGUGUGCAAGGUUGACAAAAUAUUAUCAAAGGUAUGGCUCAGAUACAAGUUUAAUUUUUCGUUGAGGAUGAUUUUGGGACCCGAUGUACCUGGAAGCAAGCAAAAAUAUGGCAUGUACUCAGAAAGGAGGAUAGUCCUGCAAAACCCCGUUUCAUACAAGAAAUCAAUAACAAAAAUAUUAAGAUGGUUAUAUAUGUGGAAAUCGGUCCGCAUAUUACAAUAAGGAGCUUCUGGUGUAAGCAACCGUAAAAGCUUCCGGCAUAAGGUACUGAGUCUUUCCCCAGCAAAGUCUUUAAGGGGGUAAGCUUCUGAAGCACGAUACCCAGUCUUCUUCAGCAAGCUGUCCGAUGAAAGUUUCAAGCACAAGCCAGCCAAUCUUCCUCAGUAAGAAAUUGGUACAAGGUAGUACGCUGUGAAUUGAUAGCAUAUGGUAGUGAAUCCCAAGAAUCAGAUCCGCAACAUUUUGGUCAGAAGCAAGAAUCGGUCAGAAUACACGUCUGUCUCGAGAAUCAGAUUCUCAUAUAUAUGCGGUGAGCAUACCACCAAGAUCUUACAAGUCACUCGGAUGAGGAUCUGGCAACCACGUGAGGAUGGUUAAGAGAAGAAAGCCAGUAUACACCGCAGUGUGACAAAGGAUUAUGAGGAUUGACGACAUCAAUGAGCUCAAUACAAGUACCUGUGAACCUGGAAAAUGAUCCUGAUGAGCCCUUGUCCCCUUUUUCUCCAAUGACGGCACCGCGCCUGUGAUCUAAGCUAUUUUUUGCUAUCCAGGGUGGAUGCCGAUUUUUAUUUCUCUCUUCAACGACUGUCACGAGUUCUGAGCUGCUUUUCGGUCGUCUCGUACAGCUGUUGAGUUUCUUUUUGAGAUAGUAGCCCUAUAGCUGCUUUUUGGCUAUUUUAGGGAGCUGACACCUUCUUCUUAUCAACCCGGUCUCAUGUUCUGAGCUGCUUUUCGGCCGUCUUGAGCCGUGGUUGAGUUAUUUCAGUAAUGUCCCGGAUAUGAGUUGUAAAGACCGUUCUGGUGGCUACUGAUUUAUUUGCCGAUUUCUUGCAAAGGUUCGGAUGAUCAUUUUUCUGCGGUCAGAACUUGAGGGGUGUUGAACCUGCCAUUUAAUGGGGUACCCUGUCAGAAAAAUAAGGAUAAGCUACGAUUGCCGAAAAAUUGCACCAACAAUACAUAUGGUGAUACGAAGAAGCAAUAUGACCCAGCUCUUUCAGCCAAGGAUCCAGACCAAGAAAACAAUAAUGAAGGAGCAAGACCAGUGAUGCAGGCGACAAUCAAAUAUUUGGUACGGAUCCGAUACUCAAGACAGUGGAACCAGUUAAGAUGAUUCAGAAACUUCCGCGAUAAGCCAGAAUCUGUCAGGAAAGCGGUUAUGACCCAACUCACUGUUUGGAACCCAAAGGACCUGCAUUUAGUGGAAAAACCCAAUGCAAGGAGUUAGAGCUUGGGUGUCCACUAGAAAAAUCUGAUCACCACUUCAUGAAAGAUUGUCAGUGCCGGACGACACAACCAGCGGAACUCUUGGAUUUAUGAGACCGACAUAUAUUUCAGUCGUGAGAAUCAAUCACAGUCAGCUAAGUCAACAGAUCUAAAAAGAAAUUGGAGCCUGUAUAAGCAGGAACAAGCCAGGUAAGAUUUGUUAGAAUAUGGGUAUAUUCAAGCAAACCACCCCAGGGUCAGUCAGAUAAAAAUUUAGUGGGAACAAAAAUAAGAAAAAGGAUACCCGAGUUGGAAACGGUUUCCUUAAGUCAGUAUCUUCAUACUUGUUCCCUGAGCAACCAAAUCUCGAGGACGAGAUUUCUUUAAGGGGGUAAGGUUUGUGAGAGCCUGAUAUUUGGCCCUUUCUUUUUCUUUUGUUUUUCUGAGGUUUUUGCUUGAGUUUUCUUUUUCCGUGGCUUUGUGGUCUGGAAACUGAAGAAGAUGAACUCUUCUUUGCUUCCAGAGUGGCUUGUCAUACCCAAAUACUUCCCUAGACCCUGUCAUUUUUCAUCCUAGCCCAAAUCCCAAUAUUCUUUUUAUUGGGAAUAUUCCUUUUCUAUUAAAGGAAUAACUCAAAUUGCCCUAGGUUGUGAAGCAACCUUUAUUUCCAUCACUCCUAAAAUUCCCAAAUAAUUCUCAUAAUUUUUUUGGGUCAUAUCUUUCUCAAAUAUGACAAGAUAUUUCAUUUGUCAUGUUUAUCAUCAUGCUCAAAUAAUUCAUUUCCUAUUCUGCCCUAAAUGGCACAUUGUGAAGCAAGUGCUAUUUUCCUUUUCCCAAUUUACCUCAAACUCCUUGGACACCUUUUCCUGUCCAUAUCAUUGCCACAUGCCAAAAUGCAACCUCAUUUGCCUAGUAAUUAUUUAAUUAUGAUUUUCCAAAGUUUCUAUCCAGAAAGAAGCUUUGUGAAGGAGGUGCAAGAUAGGCGUAUCCAAAUGAGUUGCCAUUUUGCAUGAUCCCUCAUAUCAUCAUAUCAUAGCCCUCCACCAAAGUAGAGCUCAUGUCAUGCCUCCAUGAGAGCUCACCUUCAAUUCUUUGAUUCUGUCCAAAAUUUAAGCUUGUGAAGUAAGUAUAUUUUAUCUUGCUCCAUUAUGGCUGCCAAUUUGUCUAGGCCUUCUAUUAUCAAUAUAACCUACCUCCACCCAUUUUGGGCAUGUUUCAUCAAGCCAUUUUUCCUCUAGAAUUUUUGCAAGUUUAUGUCCUGAGGAGAUGUUUGUGAAGCAAGUACCAGUUUGGCUUGGCCAAUUGGUAUGAGACUUUUUGAGCAUCUUCAUAGGACCAAAUGACUCUGCCUUGCCCAAUUUGAGCUCAAGUUGAUGCUUCAUCAGAGUGCAUCAUCCUAAUCUAGUUUCUGGACCAGUUUAUGUGGUUGUUAAGCAACUACAUUAAAUCUUGAUCCUAAUCCUCUCCAAGUUACCAGGGUGAAAGUUCUUCUUACCAUAAACCUCGCAGACAACUCCAUUUCCAUCAAUCACCUUCAUGUUGAUCACCAGUGCUCACCCAAGUUUACUGCAGUAAACUUCAGAGGUUAAUUACCAUUCAACCGGAGCUCUUUUAACCAAACUACCACCGUAGUUGCAACCUACCCAGGAAGGACUCCACCCCAUACAUCGUUUGCCAUCGCUUGUGGCACUGUGUGGACCAGUGCGCGCGGUGACCACCUCUCUAGCAUGCCAUGGACGCGAGCUGGAUGGUUUCUUGCUCGGGCCCCUCCCCCUCUCGUCGGCUUCGUGCGCGUGAGCCUGUCCAGCAGAUAGCCCUCGUCGUCGCCCACUCCCUGGACCCCUCUCCCCCUCCGUCCGCUUGCUCACCGACGCUCGCCGCCGCGUGACCACGGGCGAACACUGGCCAUUUGGUUCUGUUUGUCGCCGUCUUCUUCCUCCCCGUGCUCCGUGGGCUCCCUCUGCCCCGUGGGCUCCUCCCUGUGUCUCCCUGUCGCCUUCCCCCGAGCUCAUGCGCGAGCACACGCGUCCGCGGCGACGCCAGCGUGACACUCCCUCGCCCGGCUAUAAAUAGCCAUCCCCGGCCUCGUUCGAGCUCACCACCAGCCUCGCCUCGCUCCUCUAGGCCUCCCCGACCCCUCAGAUCAUCGCCGGAGCCCCUCCCUGCUCGCCAUCGCCGCCAUGGCCGCUGCAGCCACCGUCGGGCUCCACUCGAAUCCGAGCAGCCCCGGGCUCCUCCCCUCUUUCUUCCACCUCCACUAGACCACCUGGAGUACCCUGAGCCUCCCCAACUCUUCGCUUUCUCUUCUGGUGGCCCGGAGCGCCGUGCCCGCAUCUGCCUGACGCUGCCGUCCGUCGCCGUCCAAAACUACAGUCGCCUCGUCCAUCUCCGGCGACUGCUGUGCCCAGGGCCGCCUCCGUCUCGUUCCCGUGCAUCCGUGGGUAGGCCGAGCACCACCUGCGGUGGACUGUGCCGCCGUGGGGGCCGGCUCUGCCUCGGCCAGGCGCGGGCGAGAGCAAGGAGAAGAAGGAGAUGACCCCCUCCCUGCCAGCUGGCCGCGGGCCCCGCGUGUCAGCAAGACUUGACCGGGCCCCGCCCCUGCUGACUGGAUUAAGUGGAGGCGUAAACUCGUGAGUACGUUUUCGUUUCCAGAAAGCGUAUUUUCCCUCUGCUUCGGCCAAAGUACGUUUUCCUUUCCUGAAAGCGUAUUUCCAGUCUUCUUCAGCACCGAAUGCGUUUUCAGUUCAGUGAAAGCGUAUUUCGCUGAUUGCGCUUUCUGUUUUUCUGUCUAGGCCCUGUUUGAAAAUAUUUUCAUUACAAAUGGGUCCCUCGCAGAGAACACCUCAUAUGUUUUUAACCACAACUCCAUAUGAGGUGAUUCCAAAGCCCAUUUCUUUGUUUCGUCGAGCCCGUUCUGUUGGCUUCAUUUUCACUAUGGUUUGACACUGUGAAAAUGACCUUUUUUCCCUUGCACGUAAACAGCCCCUCCGAGAGAGAACUGUUUCCGGCAAAUCUUUCCGCGGAUUCACCGCACUUCUCCCCGAUGCCUUCUUCAUCCCCAGGCAACCCACAAUACCCACUUGCAUGAUAGUCAUGCAAUAGCCAUGGUUUUCAACUUGAAUCUUUAUUAAAUGAUUGCUUGUUUAAAAUAUGGUUAUCGUUGUUUCGGUAAUGCUUCUGGGUUAGUGCUUACUUGCUUGCUAUGUUGUUAUGCACCUGGUUAUCAUGCCCUGCUAGUUGCUAGUAUUACUUUCAUAUUGCCAUGCUUGAUAGUAGUACAUGUUAGGUUGGUCAUGUUCUUCGGUGCAUGACUAACGCCGGUUACCGAGUACUGUUAAUAUGCGUUGUUCCUUUGCUGUUAGUUGGCUAAGUGUUACUCGGUAAUGUUAUUGAUGAGUUCUCACAUGGUAUUUAUGGUUGAUGCUAGUGGUCAUGUUAUACUAUGAGUAGUGUUGCACUUGUAAUAUUUAUGCUCAUCAUUAUGCCAUGUUCAGUUGGAGAUUAUUCAUAGUUGAUAUGGUGGAUAGUUAUGUUGCAUCCCGUGCUUAUGUUGAUAUCAUGCUCAUGCUUUGUCUAUGCAUCAUGUUAUUUUAUCAUGGCUCAGCAUAUUGCAUUCAAGUUUAACCGGAUUAAAUUGAACUUGAACAACUGUUGGCUGAGUCAUGGUGCCACCAUAUCGAAACUGACCAGUGCAACCACGCUUACCGUUAUGGGAAGGUCCUAACUGGGUCUAUUGUCGUGCCUCUCGCCGGUGCCUCCAACGAGGGAAGGUUAUGGGCGCGCGCUACCCUGAUCAGGUAGGCAGACAUAACCUUGUGUGCCCGUUGUUGU
Molecule: long non-coding RNA, 8350 nt
Filed under: Triticum aestivum (bread wheat)
Lineage: Eukaryota; Viridiplantae; Streptophyta; Magnoliopsida; Poales; Poaceae
Description: long non-coding RNA (TAES_LNC004015)
Source: RNAcentral